Molecule: ribosomal RNA, 253 nt
Filed under: uncultured bacterium
Lineage: Bacteria
Description: partial 16S ribosomal RNA
Rfam family: Bacterial small subunit ribosomal RNA
Source: RNAcentral
UACGGAGGUGGCAAGCGUUGCUCGGAAUCACUGGGCGUAAAGGGCGCGUAGGCGGGGAGGUAAGUCGGGUGUGAAAUCCCUCGGCCCAACUGAGGAACUGCGCUCGAGACUGCUUCUCUUGAGUCCCGGAGAGGAAGAUGGAAUUCCCGGUGUAGCGGUGAAAUGUGUAGAGAUCGGGAGGAACACCGGUGGCGAAGGCGGUCUUCUGGACGGUGACUGACGCUGAGGCGCGAAAGCGUGGGGAGCAAACGGG